UAGGAGGCAUUCCCACUCAAUUUUUUAAUAAAAUUUAAAUUUACAUGUAAACUGAAUAAUCAAAAAUCUUAAAUAGAUUUAUUGCAGUAGAUAAUAUUAAACAAUUAAGUAAUCUUAGAUUUAGUUAUAAUUUAUAGUAUUAACAAAGUUUGUGCCAGCAGUUGCGGUUACACAGACAAUGCUAUUAAAAUUUUUUGGCUAUAAUAAAUAUGAAAUAAAAUUUUAUAUGUAAAAUUAUUAGGUGAAAUUUUAAUUUUAUGAAAAUAUUUAUAAUUUUAUAUGAUCUUAAGAUAUUUUUUUUAUAAACUAGGAUUAGAUACCCUAUUAUUAAAAACGUAAAGUUAAAGGCCUAAUUAGUAUUAGUUAUGUUCUUGAAAAUUAAAGAAGAUGGCGGUAUUUUAGUCUAUUCAGAGGAACCUGUUCUAUAAAUGAUACUCCACGAUUUUAUUAACCUAAGUUAUUAAUUUGUAUAUCGUCGUAGAUUGAGUAUUUCAUAAGAAUUAAAAUACUCAAUAUUUUAAAUAAUAGAAGAAAUCAGAUCAAGGUGCAGUUUAUACUUAGGUAGAAAUGGGUUACAAUAAACUUAUUUAAACGAAUUAUUUAUUAAAAUUGAAUAUGAAGGUGGAUUUGAAGGUAAUUUUAAAAAGAUAUUUAAAAUGAUUUUAGCUCUAAAAUAUGUACAUAUCGCCCGUCGCUUUCAUUUAAAUGAAAUAAGUCGUAACAAAGUAGUCUUACUGGAAAGUGAGGCUAGAAAGCGA
This 758-nucleotide non-coding RNA is filed under the name Coleoptera sp. ACP-2013. Lineage: Eukaryota; Metazoa; Arthropoda; Insecta; Coleoptera. The record is from RNAcentral.